Molecule: long non-coding RNA, 670 nt
Organism: Oncorhynchus tshawytscha (Chinook salmon)
Lineage: Eukaryota; Metazoa; Chordata; Actinopteri; Salmoniformes; Salmonidae
Source: Ensembl
GGGGUGAGGGCAGAGGUAGUGGUUUUUAUUUAUACCCAAUGUCUGUUAUAGAGUGGAGGUGGGGUAAUGGUGUUCUGAUAUCUGUUAUAGAGUGGAGGUGGGGUAAUGGUGUCCUGAUGUCUGUUAUAGGGUGGAGGUGGGGUAAUGGUGUUCUGAUGUCUGUUAUAGAGUGGAGGUGGGGUAAUGGUGUUCUGAUGUCUGUUAUAGAGUGGAGGUGGGGUAAUGGUGUUCUGAUAUCUGUUAUAGGGUGGAGGUGGGGUAAUGGUGUCCUGAUGUCUGUUAUAGAGUGGAGGUGGGGUAAUGGUGUUCUGAUGUCUGUUAUAGAGUGGAGGUGGGGUAAUGGUGUUCUGAUGUCUGUUAUAGAGUGGAGGUGGGGUAAUGGUGUUUUGAUAUCUGUUAUAGGGUGGAGGUGGGGUAAUGGUGUUCUGAUGUCUGUUAUAGGGUGGAGGUGGGGUAAUGGUGUUCUGAUGUCUGUUAUAGAGUGGAGGUGGGGUAAUGGUGUUCUGAUGUCUGUUAUAGAGUGGAGGUGGGGUAAUGGUGUUCUGAUGUCUGUUAUAGAGUGGAGGUGGGGUAAUGGUGUUCUGAUGUCUGUUAUAGGGGUGAUGGUGAUGGUUAUAGUGUGUUUGAGGCUGAGACCUGAUAAAGAGGAGACAGACAGCAGGUGGGGAUG